This 422-nucleotide ribosomal RNA is filed under the name Anguilla anguilla (European eel). RNAcentral's name for it is "partial large subunit ribosomal RNA". It matches the Rfam family "Bacterial large subunit ribosomal RNA", at positions 1816 to 2411 of the family's 2925-position model. The record is from RNAcentral. Lineage: Eukaryota; Metazoa; Chordata; Actinopteri; Anguilliformes; Anguillidae.
CGCCUCUUGCUAACAAAGGAAGUACUAGAGGUCCCGCCUGCCCUGUGACCACAAAGUUUAACGGCCGCGGUAUCCUGACCGUGCGAAGGUAGCGUAAUCAUUUGUCUUUUAAAUAGAGACCUGUAUGAAUGGCAUAACGAGGGUUUAACUGUCUCCUUCCCCUAGUCAAUGAAAUUGAUCUGCCCGUGCAGAAGCGGACAUAAACACAUAAGACGAGAAGACCCUAUGGAGCUUUAGACAAAAGAUCAAACAUGUAAAGAAACCAAACCAACCAAAAGGAACACGAAGGCCACAAAACCCAACGUAAACUGAUCUAAAUGUCUUCGGUUGGGGCGACCAUGGGGGAAAGAAAAGCCCCCACGAGGAACAGGGACAACCCCUAAACUAAGAGAGACACCUCUAAGCAACAGAAAAUCUGACCA